RNAcentral lists this ribosomal RNA (735 nucleotides) under uncultured Fusobacterium sp. RNAcentral's name for it is "bacterial SSU rRNA". It matches the Rfam family "Bacterial small subunit ribosomal RNA", at positions 28 to 776 of the family's 1533-position model. The record is from RNAcentral. Lineage: Bacteria; Fusobacteriati; Fusobacteriota; Fusobacteriia; Fusobacteriales; Fusobacteriaceae.
GAUGAACGCUGACAGAAUGCUUAACACAUGCAAGUCUACUUGAAUUUGGGUUUUUAACUUAGAUUUGGGUGGCGGACGGGUGAGUAACGCGUAAAGAACUUGCCUCACAGCUAGGGACAACAUUUAGAAAUGAAUGCUAAUACCUAAUAUUAUGAUAAUAGGGCAUCCUAUAAUUAUGAAAGCUAUAUGCGCUGUGAGAGAGCUUUGCGUCCCAUUAGCUAGUUGGAGAGGUAACGGCUCACCAAGGCGAUGAUGGGUAGCCGGCCUGAGAGGGUGAUCGGCCACAAGGGGACUGAGACACGGCCCUUACUCCUACGGGAGGCAGCAGUGGGGAAUAUUGGACAAUGGACCGAGAGUCUGAUCCAGCAAUUCUGUGUGCACGAUGAAGUUUUUCGGAAUGUAAAGUGCUUUCAGUUGGGAAGAAAGAAAUGACGGUACCAACAGAAGAAGUGACGGCUAAAUACGUGCCAGCAGCCGCGGUAAUACGUAUGUCACGAGCGUUAUCCGGAUUUAUUGGGCGUAAAGCGCGUCUAGGUGGUUAUAUAAGUCUGAUGUGAAAAUGCAGGGCUCAACUCUGUAUUGCGUUGGAAACUGUAUAACUAGAGUACUGGAGAGGUAAGCGGAACUACAAGUGUAGAGGUGAAAUUCGUAGAUAUUUGUAGGAAUGCCGAUGGGGAAGCCAGCUUACUGGACAGAUACUGACGCUUAAGCUCGAAGGUGCGGGUAUCAAACAGG